RNAcentral lists this ribosomal RNA (435 nucleotides) under uncultured bacterium. Its description in RNAcentral is "partial 16S ribosomal RNA". It matches the Rfam family "Bacterial small subunit ribosomal RNA", at positions 29 to 507 of the family's 1533-position model. The record is from RNAcentral.
AGCGAACGCUGGCGGCAGGCUUAACACAUGCAAGUCGAGCGGGCACUUUCGGGUGUCAGCGGCGGACGGGUGCGUAACGCGUGGUAACGUGCCCUCUGGUUCGGAAUCACUCAGGGAAACUUGAGCUAAUACCGGAUACGCCCUUUUGGGGAAAGGCUUGCUGCCGGAGGAUCGGCCCGCGUCUGAUUAGCUGGUUGGUGAGGUAACGGCUCACCAAGGCGAGGAUCAGUAGCUGGUCUGAGAGGAGGAUCAGCCACACUGGGACUGAGACACGGCCCAGACUCCUACGGGAGGCAGCAGUGGGGAAUAUUGGACAAUGGGCGCAAGCCUGAUCCAGCCAUGCCGGGUGAGUGAUGAAGGCCUUAGGGUUGUAAAGCGCUUUUAUCCGGGACGAUAAUGACGGUACCGGAGGAAUAAGCCCCGGCUAACUUCGUG